UUGACCUCAAAUCAGGUGGGACUACCCGCUGAAYUUAAGCAUAUCAAUAAKYGGAGGAAAAGAAACUAACAAGGAUUCC
RNAcentral lists this ribosomal RNA (79 nucleotides) under Hymenochaete denticulata. Its description in RNAcentral is "partial 28S ribosomal RNA". It matches the Rfam family "Eukaryotic large subunit ribosomal RNA", at positions 1 to 78 of the family's 3401-position model. Lineage: Eukaryota; Fungi; Basidiomycota; Agaricomycetes; Hymenochaetales; Hymenochaetaceae. The record is from RNAcentral.